Molecule: long non-coding RNA, 3042 nt
Organism: Neofelis nebulosa (Clouded leopard)
Lineage: Eukaryota; Metazoa; Chordata; Mammalia; Carnivora; Felidae
Exons: 6
Source: RefSeq, a predicted model, not a curated record
GAGGAUGGACUUCUGAAUACAGAUGGGUGAAGUGGAUUGGGUAAGAAGAGAGACACCAGGUCUAAUGUUGCCUAAAAGAGGGAGGAGAGAUGCCUAAGACCAGAACUAAGAGGAACUGAAUAUAAAAUAGUCCUGGAAACAGAUUGUUUGGUCUGAGUAUAUCAUUGAAGACCAUUUCAAAUCAGAUUUUUUCAGGGCAACUCCUCACUCCACGCUCCCAGUUAUGUCUCCAGAGGGUCUGGGAGUUAGGGGGAAAGGGCUGCUUGAAGACAUUCCAUAAGUAAUCCUGCAAUGGCCAAGAGGAGAGACAAUUUCACACCUGCCUCUUCAAGUUGACUUUGGACUCCCAUACCUUUUUCCAUUUGGAAUCGCGUCAAUCAGUUUUACAGCUGAAGGCAGUGACGUGCUGACAGAAGGUGAAUGCUACGCGAUCUGCUUUAUGAUUACAUUUGCUGUUUACUGCUCUAAAAGUUUGGAGAAAUUAUUUUCUUUUCAAACUGGGAAUGAAAGCUUCAUAAAUAUUAAUCUCAGUUAAUAAUAUUGUGGGAACCCUGGAUGCCAGAGGUAAGUAGCACUCAGUUCAUGACAGCUUGACAAGGGACCAGUUUUCUUAUUUGGGGAUGUGAGUCUGUCCUUUGAUGUUUAUAAACUGGUUCUUGGAACUUCCUUUCUUCUCAUGACACCAUGAACCAAAAUGUAGUGAUUUGCCUUUUUCCAUCUCAUCCAUGAGAUGUGUUGUCUUUUUUUUUUUUCUUUUUUUGGCCUUUUCUUUUCUUCCAAUGAUUUUCCUUCUGUUUCUUAAUUAUUUGGUUCCCACCUCUGUUUAUAGAUUAUAUUCCAUCCACUUUAGAGUCCAUACUAUAAAAAUACCCAAAGUUUCAUUUUUGUGUCUGAAGGACACAGUGUUAAAUCUCCAAAUACAAAUAUAUAUUACCUGAGUAGCUAUUGUUACCUGACACCAUUGUCAGAACAGAAUUCAUUUAUGUCUGUCCAAAUCAGCUUUCUUGAUGUUUUUAUAUCAUCACAGUUCUAAACAUAGAUGCAAAAUCUCCAUAUCUUCUAGGUUUAAAAUUUCCUAUUUUUCUUCAUCUAAUUCAAUCAAUUAUUGGUUCUUAUUUUUUGCUUAUAAUGCUCUUAAAACUUCUUUUUCCUAGAAUGGUUGAAGAAUUAUAUUUAAAAACUGGGAAUAUUAACAUCUUGAACUUAUGCUUAAAUGAUAUAAUGGCCAGCCUCCAAGAUGGCUCCCAAUGCUAUCCACAUCUUAUGUUCAUGUCCUUAUGUGAUUUAUUUCCACGUUUCAUUAGGCUAAGUUUGAGUGGUAAAUAGAACUCAGCAGAAUUGAUUGUGUGUCACUUCUGAGAUUCUGUCAUAAAAGACACUACAGUUUCCAUCCUGGCCAUGCCUUUUCUCAUGCCUUUUCCUCUUGAUUCAUUUCCACCAUGAGAUAAGAAACUCUACAGAGAAGUCCAUGUGGCAACUGGACUGAGACUACUGUCCAAAGCCAGUGAGAAACUGAGACCUACUACCGGCAGUCAAAUGAGUGAGUUUGGAAGUAAAUCCAUCAUCCUCACAUAAGUCUUUUGGUAACUAUAGCCCUAGUAGACAGCUUGUUCACAGCCUUAUUUGAGACUCACCUCAGAGACACGUAGCUAAGCUUUUUCCAAAUUCCUGACCUGUAGAAACUGUGUGAGAUAAUAAAUGUUGGCUUAAGCUAAGUUUUGGGGUUAAAUUGUUAUGUAUCAAUAGAUAACUAAUAAAUGACUUUCUAAUAUAAAAAUAAUAUUUAUAUGAUUCAUUGUCUUGAAACAAUCAAAGAAGGUAGAGGGGUCCAGCAGAACUCUGCUGAAGUCAUACAGUCUUGAGGAGAAGAGUCAGCCCCCUGAAUGGGGAGAGGGGUCAGUGGCCCUGGCAUGGACAAUCUCUACUCUUGAGACGCUAUCAGAAAACAUAAAGGAUUAGAGUCAGAAGAGAUGUUAAGAGUUAUCUAAGUUUACCCAAAGCAACCAUCUCCCCUGUAGCCUUUUGAAAAGUGACUGAAAGGAUCUGUAAGGAAGAGAUUUACCUAGGAUUUUUGAAAGUUAUGUGGUAGCUGUGGGAGGAUUCAAGUAGCAGCUCAAGCUCUGAUGAGAAAGACGAAGUAGUUGCUUCUUUACCUUUUAAUCACAAUUAUAAAACAUUAACUGACAACCUAUACAUAUCUAGAUGAUAGAUCUGGCAAAGCUACUAGCACAUUGUGUAGAAUAGCUGGUGUACAGAAUGUUUUUCUUCUAAAACAAAGUAUUCUUGCAGUGUUUCAUGUUCAAGAAUAUAUUCAUCAAACUCCAAGAGUUUUGGCCAGACUUCAGAUAACAGCCAAUGAGUCACUUUAAAGGAUGUCAAUGGAAAGUCCCAGGAGACCAUCUUAGGUAAGAUUUUCAUUUGAAGUUAAAAGUACACAGAAAAUUAAAAACUAGCAAUUUACUAAUCUAAAAUAUUGCCUUAUUUUAGAGUAUAAUAGCACUGAUAAUAUUCACAGGUUUACUUCAUUUUCUGCAAGAAGCACAUACGUACCAUAACAUAUACUUGCUAGUAGAAGUAAAAUUUGUUAUUCUAUAAUAUAAGAGUAUGUGGAACUAUAUGUCUCUUUGGAGAUGGAAAUAUAGAUCAAUUCAGCCCAAAUUAUUUUUCUUGUGUCUGUAAUUUGAGCUGAUAAAUUAAAGGAUACAUACCCUAAACCAGUGAUUCUCAAAGUUUGUUCUGUGUAUCAAGUGUAUAAGCAGCCCUUGAAACUUGUUACAAAUGCAAAUUUAUGGGCCCACCCCAGAUCUCCUGAAUUAGAAACUCACAGGAUCUGAGCCAGCAAUCUAGGUUUCAGCCAGCUUUCCAAAUGAUUCUGAUCCAUACUCAAGAAAGAGAAACAUUGUCCUAAGCCAACACUGGGAAAAGGGUCCCACUAAUAAAGGUGGCAAUUCUCACACUUUUCAAAUCUUGAAUGUUGAAGAAUCUUCCCACAAAACUCAAAUUCUUUAAAAUACCCAAAGCAAAGAUUAUAACAGAUUUUUU